Molecule: ribosomal RNA, 664 nt
Filed under: uncultured marine bacterium
Lineage: Bacteria
Description: bacterial SSU rRNA
Rfam family: Bacterial small subunit ribosomal RNA
Source: RNAcentral
AGAGUUUGAUCAUGGCUCAGGAUGAACGCUAGCGGCAGGCCUAAUACAUGCAAGUCGAGGGGUAAGGUUUACUUCGGUAAACACACGACCGGCGCACGGGUGAGUAACGCGUAUGCAACCUACCUAUAACUGGGAGAUAGCCCCGAGAAAUCGGGAUUAAUACCCCAUAAUAAUACUUUUUGGCAUCAUUUAGUAUUUAAAGCUCCGGCGGUUAUAGAUGGGCAUGCGUGACAUUAGUUAGUUGGUGAGGUAACGGCUCACCAAGACCACGAUGUCUAGGGGUUCUGAGAGGAAGAUCCCCCACACUGGUACUGAGACACGGACCAGACUCCUACGGGAGGCAGCAGUAAGGAAUAUUGCGCAAUGGAGGAAACUCUGACGCAGCCAUGCCGCGUGAAGGAUGACGGCCUUAUGGGUUGUAAACUUCUUUUGUUAGGGAAUAAACCUCCACUCGUGAGUGGAGCUGAAGGUACCUAAAGAAUAAGCACCGGCUAACUCCGUGCCAGCAGCCGCGGUAAUACGGAGGGUGCAAGCGUUAUCCGGAUUCAUUGGGUUUAAAGGGUGCGCAGGCGGACUUUUAAGUCAGUGGUGAAAUCCCGGGGCUCAACCCCGGAACUGCCAUUGAUACUGGAAGUCUUGAAUUUGGUUGAAGUGGGCGGAAUGU